RNAcentral lists this non-coding RNA (26 nucleotides) under Rattus norvegicus (Norway rat). Lineage: Eukaryota; Metazoa; Chordata; Mammalia; Rodentia; Muridae. The record is from RNAcentral.
UGGAAAGUGAAGACACCCAGGGGCUC